RNAcentral lists this non-coding RNA (31 nucleotides) under Rattus norvegicus (Norway rat). The record is from RNAcentral. Lineage: Eukaryota; Metazoa; Chordata; Mammalia; Rodentia; Muridae.
UGAUGAGUUUGAGUGACACCACGUCCUGGCA